RNAcentral lists this ribosomal RNA (398 nucleotides) under uncultured bacterium. RNAcentral describes it as "bacterial SSU rRNA". It matches the Rfam family "Bacterial small subunit ribosomal RNA", at positions 558 to 957 of the family's 1533-position model. The record is from RNAcentral.
GCGUAAAGCGCGCGUAGGUGGUUCGUUAAGUUGGAUGUGAAGCCCGGGCUCAACCUGGGAACUGCAUCCAAAACUGGCGAGCUAGAGUACGGUAGAGGGUGGUGGAAUUUCCUGUGUAGCGGUGAAAUGCGUAGAUAUWGGAAGGAAYACCAGUGGCGAAGGCGGCCCCCUGGCACGAAGACUGACGCUCAGGUGCGAAAGCGUGGGGAGCAAACAGGAUUAGAUACCCUGGUAGUCCACGCCGUAAACGAUGUCGACUUGGAGGUUGUGCCCUUGAGGCGUGGCUUCCGGAGCUAACGCGUUAAGUCGACCGCCUGGGGAGUACGGCCGCAAGGUUAAAAACUCAAAAUGAAUUGACGGGGGUAGAAAUUCCAGGUGUAGCGGUGAAAAUGCGUAGA